AUUGAGCGCUGGCGGCAGGCCUAACACAUGCAAGUCGAGCGGAUGAAGGGAGCUUGCUCCUGGAUUCAGCGGCGGACGGGUGAGUAAUGCCUAGGAAUCUGCCUGGUAGUGGGGGAUAACGUCCGGAAACGGGCGCUAAUACCGCAUACGUCCUGAGGGAGAAAGUGGGGGAUCUUCGGACCUCACGCUAUCAGAUGAGCCUAGGUCGGAUUAGCUAGUUGGUGGGGUAAAGGCCUACCAAGGCGACGAUCCGUAACUGGUCUGAGAGGAUGAUCAGUCACACUGGAACUGAGACACGGUCCAGACUCCUACGGGAGGCAGCAGUGGGGAAUAUUGGACAAUGGGCGAAAGCCUGAUCCAGCCAUGCCGCGUGUGUGAAGAAGGUCUUCGGAUUGUAAAGCACUUUAAGCUGGGAGGAAGGGCAGUAAGUUAAUACCUUGCUGUUUUGACGUUACCAACAGAAUAAGCACCGGCUAACUUCGUG
Molecule: ribosomal RNA, 484 nt
Filed under: uncultured bacterium
Lineage: Bacteria
Description: partial 16S ribosomal RNA
Rfam family: Bacterial small subunit ribosomal RNA
Source: RNAcentral